RNAcentral lists this ribosomal RNA (497 nucleotides) under uncultured bacterium. Its description in RNAcentral is "partial 16S ribosomal RNA". It matches the Rfam family "Bacterial small subunit ribosomal RNA", at positions 28 to 507 of the family's 1533-position model. The record is from RNAcentral.
GACGAACGCUGGCGGCGUGCCUAAUACAUGCAAGUUGAGCGCUGAAGGUUGGUACUUGUCCCAACUGGAUGAGCAGCGAACGGGUGAGUAACGCGUGGGGAAUCUGCCUUUGAGCGGGGGACAACAUUUGGAAACGAAUGCUAAUACCGCAUAAAAACUUUAAACACAAGUUUUAAGUUUGAAAGAUGCCAUUGCAUCACUCAAAGAUGAUCCCGCGUUGUAUUAGCUAGUUGGUGAGGUAAAGGCUCACCAAGGCGAUGAUACAUAGCCGACCUGAGAGGGUGAGCGGCCACAUUGGGACUGAGACACGGCCCAAACGCAUACGGGAGGCAGCAGGAGGGAAUCUUCGGCAAGGGACGAAAGUCUGAGCGAGCAACGCCGCGGGAGUGAAGAAGGAUGUCGGAUCGGAAAACUCUGUUGGUAGAGAAGAACGGUGGUGAGAGUGGAAAGAUCAUCAAGUGACGGUAACUACUCAGAAAGGGACGGCUAACUACGUG